This is a long non-coding RNA of Halichondria panicea, 777 nucleotides long. RefSeq lists it as uncharacterized. The transcript is spliced from 4 exons. The record is from RefSeq and is a predicted model, not a curated record. Lineage: Eukaryota; Metazoa; Porifera; Demospongiae; Suberitida; Halichondriidae.
GUAGAUAACGGUAAAGAAGUGUAGUAAAUGAACAGAGAGCAGCUUUUAACCAUGUCUACAAGUACUAAUCAACCCGGUGCAGCGGUAUACAAGCACCUCCAAGUGUUCAGCAACAGUAUGGAGUUCCACAGCAACUUGCAACCAGUUACCAGCUACCUGCAACUCAACAACAGCCUGCCACCAUGCAAUUACAACAAGUGGUCCAACCUCAACAGGCUCCUAUAAUGCAAGCAGCCCCAAUACAGUAUGUGAACCAAGUGGCCCCACAACAGCAAGUGUAUGCUCCACAGUAUCAACCUCAGCAAGCUCCUAUAAUGCAAGCAGCCCCACAACAGCAAGCCAUGUAUGCUCCACAAUAUCAGCCUAAGCCUCUGCAGUUGCAAGGUCAGGCUCCCCAGUAUCAUGGCAAUCAGGUUGCUUAUUCUGCACAGCAAGGAGGUGUUGCAUAAAUUAUCAUGAGUUCUGAUUGCAUGAAUCCUCCAAACUUCAACUACAAACCAAACGACUACAUUAUUCUGACAAUUGCCGUAGCAGUUAUCUUUGGAAUUUUCUUCAUUGGGAGUCUCUUUUGCUCAAUCCCAGCAGUCGUACUGUCUGUGAAGAGCAAUGCGGCGACUACUGCAGGCAAUAUCAAGGCGGGACGCAGACUGGGAGUGUUUGCUGUCUACCUUGUUGUCAGUGCCAUACUGUUUGCUCUCGUAGCAGACAUUGUCAUCGUUGGGAUUGUGAUAGCUGGAAGCAGGAUGCCAUAUUAUUGUACUGGAUUCUACGGUAGUU